Molecule: ribosomal RNA, 1076 nt
Filed under: Klebsiella pneumoniae
Lineage: Bacteria; Pseudomonadati; Pseudomonadota; Gammaproteobacteria; Enterobacterales; Enterobacteriaceae
Description: bacterial SSU rRNA
Rfam family: Bacterial small subunit ribosomal RNA
Source: RNAcentral
GCUCAGAUUGAACGCUGGCGGCAGGCCUAACACAUGCAAGUCGAGCGGUAGCACAGAGAGCUUGCUCUCGGGUGACGAGCGGCGGACGGGUGAGUAAUGUCUGGGAAACUGCCUGAUGGAGGGGGAUAACUACUGGAAACGGUAGCUAAUACCGCAUAACGUCGCAAGACCAAAGUGGGGGACCUUCGGGCCUCAUGCCAUCAGAUGUGCCCAGAUGGGAUUAGCUAGUAGGUGGGGUAACGGCUCACCUAGGCGACGAUCCCUAGCUGGUCUGAGAGGAUGACCAGCCACACUGGAACUGAGACACGGUCCAGACUCCUACGGGAGGCAGCAGUGGGGAAUAUUGCACAAUGGGCGCAAGCCUGAUGCAGCCAUGCCGCGUGUAUGAAGAAGGCCUUCGGGUUGUAAAGUACUUUCAGCGGGGAGGAAGGCGAUAAGGUUAAUAACCUUGUCGAUUGACGUUACCCGCAGAAGAAGCACCGGCUAACUCCGUGCCAGCGGCCGCGGUAAUACGGAGGGUGCAAGCGUUAAUCGGAAUUACUGGGCGUAAAGCGCACGCAGGCGGUCUGUCAAGUCGGAUGUGAAAUCCCCGGGCUCAACCUGGGAACUGCAUUCGAAACUGGCAGGCUAGAGUCUUGUAGAGGGGGGUAGAAUUCCAGGUGUAGCGGUGAAAUGCGUAGAGAUCUGGAGGAAUACCGGUGGCGAAGGCGGCCCCCUGGACAAAGACUGACGCUCAGGUGCGAAAGCGUGGGGAGCAAACAGGAUUAGAUACCCUGGUAGUCCACGCCGUAAACGAUGUCGAUUUGGAGGUUGUGCCCUUGAGGCGUGGCUUCCGGAGCUAACGCGUUAAAUCGACCGCCUGGGGAGUACGGCCGCAAGGUUAAAACUCAAAUGAAUUGACGGGGGCCCGCACAAGCGGUGGAGCAUGUGGUUUAAUUCGAUGCAACGCGAAGAACCUUACCUGGUCUUGACAUCCACAGAACUUAGCAGAGAUGCUUUGGUGCCUUCGGGAACUGUGAAACAGGUGCUGCAUGGCUGUCGUCAGCUCGUGUUGUGAAAUGUAAUCUUGGGGAUCC